UUCCUACGGGGGGCAGCAGUGGGGAAUAUUGGGCAAUGGGCGCAAGCCUGACCCAGCAACGCCGCGUGAAGGAAGAAGGCUUUCGGGUUGUAAACUUCUUUUCUCAGGGACGAAGAAAAUGACGGUACCUGGGGAGGAAGCUCCGGCUAACUACGUGCCAGCAGCCGCGGUAAUACGUAGGGAGCGAGCGUUGUCCGGAAUUACUGGGUGUAAAGGGAGCGUAGGCGGGGAUGCAAGUUGGGUGUCAAAACUACCGGCUCAACUGGUAGUCGCACUCAAAACUGCAGCUCUUGAGUGAAGAAGAG
This 305-nucleotide ribosomal RNA is filed under the name uncultured bacterium. RNAcentral's name for it is "bacterial SSU rRNA". It matches the Rfam family "Bacterial small subunit ribosomal RNA", at positions 336 to 656 of the family's 1533-position model. The record is from RNAcentral.